GGGGAUGUGUUGGAACCCGGUAGACAAGAUGGUCUCAAAAACCAUUGGACGCAAGUCCGUGAGGGUUCAAAUCCCUCCAUCCCCA
Molecule: transfer RNA, 85 nt
Filed under: Candidatus Parcubacteria bacterium
Lineage: Bacteria; Candidatus Parcubacteria
Description: tRNA-Leu
Rfam family: tRNA
About the family: Transfer RNA (tRNA) molecules are approximately 80 nucleotides in length. Their secondary structure includes four short double-helical elements and three loops (D, anti-codon, and T loops). Further hydrogen bonds mediate the characteristic L-shaped molecular structure. tRNAs have two regions of fundamental functional importance: the anti-codon, which is responsible for specific mRNA codon recognition, and the 3' end, to which the tRNAs corresponding amino acid is attached (by aminoacyl-tRNA synthetases). tRNAs cope with the degeneracy of the genetic code in two manners: having more than one tRNA (with a specific anti-codon) for a particular amino acid; and 'wobble' base-pairing, i.e. permitting non-standard base-pairing at the 3rd anti-codon position.
Source: RNAcentral